Molecule: ribosomal RNA, 405 nt
Filed under: uncultured bacterium
Lineage: Bacteria
Description: bacterial SSU rRNA
Rfam family: Bacterial small subunit ribosomal RNA
Source: RNAcentral
AGCACCGGCUAACUCCGUGCCAGCAGCCGCGGUAAUACGGAGGGUGCAAGCGUUAUCCGGAUUUAUUGGGUUUAAAGGGUGCGUAGGCGGCUAUUUAAGUCAGUGGUGAAAUCCUGCAGCUCAACUGUAGAACAGCCAUUGAAACUGAAUAGCUUGAGUAAUCUUGAGGUAGGCGGAAUGUGUAGUGUAGCGGUGAAAUGCUUAGAUAUUAUACAGAACACCGAUUGCGAAGGCAGCUUACUAAGGAUUUACUGACGCUGAUGCACGAAAGCGUGGGGAUCAAACAGGAUUAGAUACCCUGGUAGUCCACGCCGUAAACGAUGAUAACUCGCUGUUGGCGAUACACAGUCAGCGGCUUAGCGAAAGCGUUAAGUUAUCCACCUGGGGAGUACGCUCGCAAGAGUG